RNAcentral lists this ribosomal RNA (497 nucleotides) under uncultured bacterium. RNAcentral's name for it is "partial 16S ribosomal RNA". It matches the Rfam family "Bacterial small subunit ribosomal RNA", at positions 28 to 507 of the family's 1533-position model. The record is from RNAcentral.
GAUGAACGCUGGCGGCGUGCCUAAUACAUGCAAGUCGAGCGAACAGACGAGGAGCUUGCUCCUCUGACGUUAGCGGCGGACGGGUGAGUAACACGUGGAUAACCUACCUAUAAGACUGGGAUAACUUCGGGAAACCGGAGCUAAUACCGGAGAAUAUAUUGAAUCGCAUGGUUCAAUAGUGAAAGACGGUUUUGUUGUCACUUAUAGAUUGAUCCGGGCCGCAUUAGCUGGUUGGUAAGGUAACGGCUUACCAAGGCAACGAUGCGUAGCCGACCUGAGAGGGAGGACGGCCAAACUGAGACUGAGACAGGAUCCACACACCGACACGAGGCCGCAGUCGAGACUCCUACGGGAUGGAGGAAAGCCUGACAGUGCAACGCCGAGUGAAUGCUGAAGGUCCUCCGCCCGUAGAAUAAUGAUAUUAGGCAAGAAGUAAUGUGUUAGUAAAUGUGAACGACUUGACGGUACCUAAGCAGAAAGCCACGGCUAACUACGUG